This is a long non-coding RNA of Stegostoma tigrinum, 831 nucleotides long. RefSeq lists it as uncharacterized. The transcript has 3 exons. The record is from RefSeq and is a predicted model, not a curated record. Lineage: Eukaryota; Metazoa; Chordata; Chondrichthyes; Orectolobiformes; Stegostomatidae.
CAAGCAGAGGGGACGCUGCUUGGCUGAACGACAUCUGCAAUCCAGUGUGACUUAAAGAAUUUACACAUUUAUUCAACUUUCCUUCAAGAUAAAGAAUGCUGAUUAAUGUUGUAAGACAUUCUACCAAGAGAGAAUACAGAAACUGGGGUUGUACUCCUCUGGACAGAGAAGUGAAAAUCUACUAUGCUGAAUGGGAAAAUGUCAUCUAUCAAGCUGGAUUUCAACCUAGGAUCAGAUUUGUCCAACAGUAACAUCAGCUAGGAUCACAAACCAUUGUGACAGAAGACCUUUCCAUUUAAGACAGUUGACAUCAGAAAAAUGCCCAUUAUUUAAAAUCAGAUGAAAUUGGAUGCUGUUGAUGAUGGUACAGAUUGGUAUUUCAUUAGGAAUGCUCAUAGUUUGAUAACAUAUUUCACAAACUAAACCCAGUAUGUGACUGAAGGGUUAACUGAUGCCAAAUCUGAUUCAAUGUAUCUUUAAUACAACGGCAUUCUGUCUCAAGAUUUAUGCUGGCAACAAUGUAUCUUUGGAUACAAUGCCAAAAUUAGCAUUUUUUUUCCACAGGCGUGAGACAAACCAAUUCCGCACAUAAGGACGUGAGGACUGGUGACUAAAAACCUGUUCAAAAGGAGGCUGCUCAUGGACAAUGAACAGAAGUAGAGGACGUCAAACCAAACGGACAAAGAUUGAUCUAAAAUAUAAAGAUGCCAACAGUGAAUAGUAAAGUUUUCUUUAAACAUUUUAUCCAGGUUCUUCGUUCCUGUUAAUGUUUGCACCGUGCUUUGUUGCUGUCUCCCUCGGUCGCCUUAACUUGCUUCACUUUUUUCUUUU